UACGUAGGGUGCGAGCGUUGUCCGGAAUUAUUGGGCGUAAAGAGCUCGUAGGCGGCUUGUUGCGUCAGCUGUGAAAACCCGCAGCUCAACUGUGGGCUUGCAGCUGAUACGGGCAGGCUUGAGUUCGGUAGGGGAGACUGGAAUUCCUGGUGGAGCGGUGAAAUGCGUAGAUAUCAGGAGGAACACCGGUGGCGAAAGCGGCUCACUGGACCGUUACUGACGCUGGAGGUGACGAAAGGCCUAGGGGAGCAAACAGGG
RNAcentral lists this ribosomal RNA (258 nucleotides) under uncultured bacterium. RNAcentral describes it as "partial 16S ribosomal RNA". It matches the Rfam family "Bacterial small subunit ribosomal RNA", at positions 524 to 777 of the family's 1533-position model. The record is from RNAcentral.